AAAAUUGAUAACAUAAGGGAAAAUAAUGAUAUUACCUUAUUAUUAGUGUCGUCCAAAACUGGUGCCAGAAGACUCGGUAAGGCCAGAGACAUAAACGUUAAUCGUCUUAAUCAGGCGUAAAGGGUUUGUAGGCGGCUUUUAAUUUUACUUCUUUAUUUUUGAUUUUUUUUUUUUAUUAAAAUUUAUAAGUAAAGAAUAAAAGCUAGAAUCAAAUAGAGGAUAUAUUAAAUAAUGCUUAGAGUAGGUCUGAUAUCUUUAGAUACUAAGUAGAAUAUUAAAGGCGAAGGCUUUUUUCCAUUAAUGAUUGACGCUCAGAAACGAAGGUGAGGAUAGGAAAUAGGAUUAGAUACCCCAAAUACCCCUCUCUGUCAACGAUGAAGGGUAGUUAUUAGUAAUAAAUUAAUUAAUGACAAUGUUAACACGAUAACCAUUCCGCCUUGUGAGUACAACUGCAAAGUUGAAAACAAAAAAAUUAGUCGGUUUCGGAGCAAACGAAGUGAAGCAUGUUAUUUAAU
This 515-nucleotide ribosomal RNA is filed under the name Russula lakhanpalii. Its description in RNAcentral is "partial small subunit ribosomal RNA". It matches the Rfam family "Bacterial small subunit ribosomal RNA", at positions 426 to 950 of the family's 1533-position model. The record is from RNAcentral. Lineage: Eukaryota; Fungi; Basidiomycota; Agaricomycetes; Russulales; Russulaceae.